This 253-nucleotide ribosomal RNA is filed under the name uncultured bacterium. RNAcentral describes it as "partial 16S ribosomal RNA". It matches the Rfam family "Bacterial small subunit ribosomal RNA", at positions 524 to 776 of the family's 1533-position model. The record is from RNAcentral.
UACGUAGGGGACAAGCGUUGUCCGGAAUCAUUGGGCGUAAAGAGCGCGUAGGCGGCCCGAUAAGUCCGCUCUGAAAGUCAAAGGCUCAACCUUUGAAAGCGGGUGGAUACUGUCGGGCUAGAGUCCGGAAGAGGCGAGUGGAAUUCCUGGUGUAGCGGUGGAAUGCGCAGAUAUCAGGAGGAACACCAACGGCGAAGGCAGCUCGCUAGGACGGUACUGACGCUGAGGCGCGAAAGCGUGGGGAGCGAACAGG